This 564-nucleotide long non-coding RNA is filed under the name Rattus norvegicus (Norway rat). Its description in RNAcentral is "long non-coding RNA NONRATT014305". The record is from RNAcentral. Lineage: Eukaryota; Metazoa; Chordata; Mammalia; Rodentia; Muridae.
GGUUCGAGACGGCCAAGUCCUUCGCCCUCCAUGGUGCGCACGUGAUCCUGGCCUGUAGGAACAUGAGCAGAGCCAGCGAGGCCGUGUCCCGCAUUCUGGAGGAAUGGAAAACACUCGUGAAUAAUCUGCUGUGCCGUGCGUGGAGAGCGGUGUCUUCUUCAGCACUUGUCCAAAGGGGAGGAGGGGCAGGAACAUAGAGCUCUGACACCCCUCAGUGCCCCACCUGUUUACAGACACCAUUUGAUUUAAUCCUUUAAUAACCUUCUGGAAGGAUCGUCACUGUCUCCACUGGGUCAGUAAGGGAAGUGACAAUGGUGACACAUGCUGACUGCAGGAGGAGGGGAGCAGCGUGCCCGAGGCCAUGUUCCCGAUUCCUGGGCAGAAGCAGAAUUUGAAAAUGGAGCCCAUUUGUCUCAGCCAUGGGCAAAGAGCUGUCAUGGUCAUGCCCCAAGUUGCCUCCCUACUAGCACUUUUUCUUUUCUUUUAAAAACUUUUCUUCUUUUUCUUUAUCUAGCAAAUUUGUAGUUAUUGUGAUGUGAAAGACAGUUUCCACCCCUUUUGUCU